This is a long non-coding RNA of Bos taurus (domestic cattle), 1064 nucleotides long. Lineage: Eukaryota; Metazoa; Chordata; Mammalia; Artiodactyla; Bovidae. The record is from Ensembl.
CUCUACUAGUCUUGCCUGGGAAAUCCCAUGGAGAGAGAAGCCUGGCGGGCUAUAGUCCAUGGAGCAAGAGUCUGACAUGACUGAGUGGCUAAACAAACAAAAACAAAUCCCCCAUCAGCCUGGCCAGAGUUGAUUAGAGUUUGGCUGAAAUGAAAGUGCGUGGUACGCUGUCAGAGCUGCAGUUCACAAAUACGGGAGCCAAAUUACACUGUUACUGGGAUGGCCACGAGGGAGACACUAUACCAGAAGCAACCGUGCAGGUCAUAACCUUAAAGGGAGGUGAUGGUACUGACACACGGAAGGCCAAGUCCAAAGCUCCAGCAGCGCUACUUUAGAAUUCCGCCUGAGGGAGCUUAGCUCAUUAAACAAAAAAUUAUAAAAAACAAAAAUACAUUUAUAUUUGCUCAAAAGUUAAAGGUUUUAUCUCUCUCUCCAAAAUAUACUCUGAAUCUGACCCACUGCACCUUCUUUACUGGGACCACUACUGGUCAAGCCACCACUUUCUCGCCUCUAAACAAAUGCAUUGAGUCUCUCACUGUUUCCAGUGUCCGCUCCACCCUAUUUCCAAACUGCUCUCCACAGAGCAGCCAGAGCCAUUUUCUUAAAAAGUAAUUUGAGGGGUUUCUUGGGUGGUGCAGUGGAUGGGAAUCUGCCUGCCAACGCGUGAGGUUGAUCCCUGGUCCGGGAGGAUGCGACAUGCCUCGGAGCACGUAGGCCCAUGCGCCACAACUCCUGAAGCCCGCACGCCUAGAACCCGUGCUCUGCAACAAGAGAAGCCACUGCAGUGAGAAGCCCUCGCUCACCACAACUAGAGAAAGCCCACACAAAGCAAAAGACCCAGCACGGCCAAAAAUAAGGAAUUUUUUAAAAAAUUCCACAUAUAAGUGAAACAGUAUUUGCUUUUUCCCAUCUGACUUAUUUCACUUGGCAUAAUACACUCAAGGUCCAUCCAUGUUGUCCCAAAUGGCAAAGUAUCAUCUUUCUUAUGGGAAAAACUGAACAUUUGGACUGAAGGUCUGUGAGAGACAGAAAUAGAGAGGCUCCAGCUCCUGGAAGCCCUGCCU